AAAGUUUAGGAUAACAAAAUUUAUAUGUUUAUUAAACCACUUUAAGAUUUAAAACAUGGUGACAUGGAAAUGCAAAGGGGAGCUAUAAAGACCGGAUGAAUCCAUUUAUUAAUUGAAAUACGUGUUCCUGUCUGUUAUUAAGAAGUGCACGAUUUCAUUUGUACUGUAUCUGGGUGACCACAAAUCAGCGAUAACCAAUUCAUAAGUAAAUGUCCUUGCUUUAGGUGUAGAGGCAUUAACUGUAAUCAGACCAAAAUUUUCACUUCCAUUUGAAUUUUUCAGUUUAAACUCGGUGUGCCCUUGGUUUUACACAACAGGAUUCAGGAAUUAAAGGUUUGGCUCUUUAAAAGCCAUCAAACAGGCACACGGUCCACGAAGCAAAAACUCGGGGAAGUUCGUGCGCCCACACCUGGGAAAGCUGAGAUGCCCUUCAAGAGUUGAAGAUGGCGUUUCCAUGAGUCAGGUCAGAGUUAACGCGCUACCUUCGCUUCAAAGACUGGAUUCCUUUCAGUGUAUUAGUCAUGAUGUUUUGCUGACCGAGAGUUGGAACUCUGUAUGAGGGCGGGUGAGUUUACAUUCUGUCCGCUCGUCAUCCUCGUAGUUGCUAACACGCACAAAAGACUUCUUAAAAAACGCAAACUGGACUGAAAAAACUUAGGGCAGACAAGGAACAAAUCCUGGGCGGGUAGUGGACAAAGCGGUAAUUCUCACCUUACAGG
This 719-nucleotide long non-coding RNA is filed under the name Bos taurus (domestic cattle). RNAcentral describes it as "long non-coding RNA NONBTAT019628". Lineage: Eukaryota; Metazoa; Chordata; Mammalia; Artiodactyla; Bovidae. The record is from RNAcentral.